This 768-nucleotide long non-coding RNA is filed under the name Phasianus colchicus (ring-necked pheasant). Its description in RNAcentral is "lncRNA (ENSPCLG00000008759.1)". Lineage: Eukaryota; Metazoa; Chordata; Aves; Galliformes; Phasianidae. The record is from RNAcentral.
GCUGUGGCUACAAAUUCACUAUCAGCCAACCAAAGCAAAUGUUGCACAAAGAAGCAAUUUUUUGCAUAGCUCCUGAUCUCCAAACUCUUGAAGAUUAAAUAAAAUAGAGAUUAAAUUAAAAAGGAAAUCAGUAAACCUGUGACAUCUCCAGCACUUGCCCCAAAUAGCAACUAACUAAAGUGUCUGAAUGAACAAUAGUGAGGAAAUUAGGAGGUUCUUCCAAGGGCAGCAAUAAUUGUAACCUGACUGGUGAAUGAAUUUGGAAGCAAUCGAAACAAAACAAAGCAUUUAAUGUACUGAAAAGUUGAAAAGACACCAAUCUCAUUAGGCUGUAUUCCUCUUUAAGAGAACACCCAAAUGACAUCCUGAAGUUUGCCUAUGUCUGGCUUUCCUUUCAUUUACACUCCUCAUCUUUCUCUCAACAGAGCUGGGUGUGCAUGGGCAGUGGUGCAAGGGGAGCCUGCGCCAGAGCUCUGCUCCCUCUUUCUGGGAAGACCGUCUCUGGCAAGCAGAUUGGUUCUGCUUGCUCCUAUUCAUGGAGAAGACAUUCUCGCUUUGCCUUGAACUUUGCCUUUUCUGAAAGAGGUGCAAAACUACUGCUUCUUUCCAUCUUCAGUACCUAAAAGUUGUUGUGGUGGAGCUUGGAACCCUGUCACAUUGGUGUGUGUACAAACAUGCGGUCUCCCAUCCCGAGGAGGAUCAAAAUAACUCCGCAACUGCAAGAAGAGAGACAGUUCUUCCCCUUAAUUUACAUACAUGAAACCGAGA